GUGUAUUUUUUAUACACUAUGGCAAUAAAAUUACCUUGUAAUAGGUGUAUUGGACCCGAGGGCAGUACUCGGCGCCUCCACCA
This 83-nucleotide transfer-messenger RNA is filed under the name Wolbachia endosymbiont of Culex pipiens molestus. RNAcentral describes it as "transfer-messenger RNA Wolba_sp_Cqu". It matches the Rfam family "Alphaproteobacteria transfer-messenger RNA", at positions 40 to 119 of the family's 355-position model. Rfam says of the family: Bacterial tmRNA, also known as 10Sa RNA or SsrA, is named for its dual tRNA and mRNA-like properties. Its role is to liberate the mRNA from a stalled ribosome. Lineage: Bacteria; Pseudomonadati; Pseudomonadota; Alphaproteobacteria; Rickettsiales; Anaplasmataceae. RNAcentral also lists the same sequence under 2 other names. The record is from RNAcentral.